This 799-nucleotide ribosomal RNA is filed under the name uncultured Verrucomicrobiaceae bacterium. Its description in RNAcentral is "bacterial SSU rRNA". It matches the Rfam family "Bacterial small subunit ribosomal RNA", at positions 502 to 1300 of the family's 1533-position model. Lineage: Bacteria; Pseudomonadati; Verrucomicrobiota; Verrucomicrobiia; Verrucomicrobiales; Verrucomicrobiaceae. The record is from RNAcentral.
UUCGUGCCAGCAGCCGCGGUAAUACGAAGGUCCCAAGCGUUGUUCGGAAUCACUGGGCGUAAAGGGAGCGUAGGCGGCGUGGUAAGUCAGAUGUGAAAUCCCGAGGCUCAACCUCGGAACUGCAUCCGAUACUGCCAUGCUAGAGGAUUGGAGAGGUAGCUGGAAUUCUUGGUGUAGCAGUGAAAUGCGUAGAGAUCAAGAGGAACACUCGUGGCGAAAGCGAGCUACUGGACAAUUCCUGACGCUGAGGCUCGAAGGCUAGGGUAGCGAAAGGGAUUAGAUACCCCUGUAGUCCUAGCAGUAAACGGUGCACGCUUGGUGUGAGGGGAAUCGACCCCCCUUGUGCCGGGGCUAACGCGUUAAGCGUGCCGCCUGGGAAGUACGGUCGCAAGACUAAAACUCAAAGAAAUUGACGGGGACCCGCACAAGCGGUGGAGUAUGUGGCUUAAUUCGAUGCAACGCGAAGAACCUUACCAAGGCUUGACAUGCAUCUCUAAACACGUGAAAGCGUGUGACCCUUCGGGGAAUUUGCACAGGUGCUGCAUGGCCGUCGUCAGCUCGUGUCGUGAGAUGUUGGGUUAAGUCCCGCAACGAGCGCAACCCUUGUGAUUAGUUGCCAGCACGUCAUGGUGGGAACUCUAGUCAGACUGCCCAGAUCAACUGGGAGGAAGGUGGGGACGACGUCAGGUCAGUAUGGCCCUUACGCCUUGGGCUGCACACGUACUACAAUGCCCAGCACAAUGANAACCGAUACCGCGAGGUGNAGGAAAUCUGUAAAACUGGGCUCANUUCGGGAUUG